AUGUUGGAUUCACCUUCGAAUCAGGACUUUGAGGAAUACAGUGGACUUGAAAAGGUUGCUGAGCUUUUGAAGGAUGUUCAAGUUGAAGAACACAUAAGGCAAGUAUAA
This 108-nucleotide ribosomal RNA is filed under the name Triticum aestivum (bread wheat). RNAcentral's name for it is "partial small subunit ribosomal RNA". The record is from RNAcentral. Lineage: Eukaryota; Viridiplantae; Streptophyta; Magnoliopsida; Poales; Poaceae.